GCUGGGCACGGUGGUGCGUGCCUAUGGUCCCAACUACGUGGGAGGCUGAGGUGGGAGGAUUGCUUGAGCCCAGGAGUCUGAGGCUGCAGUGAGUCAUGAUGGCACCACUGCACUCCAGCCUGGGUAACAGCAAGACCCUGUCUCUU
Molecule: unclassified non-coding RNA, 146 nt
Organism: Macaca fascicularis (crab-eating macaque)
Lineage: Eukaryota; Metazoa; Chordata; Mammalia; Primates; Cercopithecidae
Rfam family: Metazoan signal recognition particle RNA
About the family: The signal recognition particle (SRP) is a universally conserved ribonucleoprotein.
Source: Ensembl